Molecule: microRNA precursor, 59 nt
Organism: Monodelphis domestica (gray short-tailed opossum)
Lineage: Eukaryota; Metazoa; Chordata; Mammalia; Didelphimorphia; Didelphidae
Rfam family: mir-7386 microRNA precursor family
Source: Rfam
ACAUGGACAAUAUGCUUCAAUUUGUAAAUUUGAUGCAAAGAAGUGUAUGGUCCAUAGAG